CGAAUGAUCAUGAGCUUCUACCGAUUCUUUUCAUUGCAAAAUAUUAUUUGUGUUUCAAAAGCCUCAACCAAUUCAGCAGGAUUUGACGAGAAAGUAAAGGAAGACUGAACCGCAGGUACAGCGUUACAGUUCUCUCAAAAGUCUUUCGAUCAUUAUACGAUUUGAAACAUCCUUUGACCUGUCAUGUCAUACUGUAUCUUUUCAUAUCUCAAGCUAUGCACUGAAUUAUUUUCUUCACCCGUAAUUAAGGAGAUUGCCGUUUUGGAGCCAAAUAUCCUCGUAAACUUUACCCGACCAAGUCAAGUGGACUGAAGACAUACUCCUGAACCAUGAGCUCCGUUCGAAUGUUAACAAAGAUCGUAAUUAUGGCAGCUGUGUUCCAAGCACAUGGAAAAAGUUGCUUGGGCUGCAGAAAUGAUGAGAUCAACCAGCGAUAAACCAGGACAGAAAAGCACGUGUCUACCAUGUAUCGACUGCUUAGACGGAAUGGAACCCUCGAUUCCUUGCGGCGGAACCGCCAUAUAUGGAACACACUACAUUGGCCCUGUAGGCCCUGUAGGCCAUGCUCCCUAUGCUCUAUUGGACGCGCAGUGAGAAGGAACUGUUCUGCGACUUGGAACACUCUAUGUGGCUCUUGUAAGUUUGGCUAUUACCGGAAAGUUGUCGCCUUCAACCUGCUUCACCAUUGCCUCCCAUGUUCCGUCUGCUGUGAGGACGGUAAAGAUCAGUUAGAGAAGCAGUGCAAAGACCAAGGGUUGCCAAGGUAGCGACUUUGCGCCCACCUGUCAAAUGUUUUGGACAACUCCAAAGACCACGUCGAGCACAUAAUUUUUAGACACAAAUCCCACGGCAAAGAAAGAGGCAAGCCGAAAGGGACAAGCAGAGGAAGUUUUUUUGGCUCCCUCGCGAAGAAUACCGGAGCCGUUUGCAAGAGCCACAGCCACGACCACAAGUGCGACAUUUUCUUCUCAUGAAACGUUACCUACCACUCGAGUAUCAAACAACUUCAGCAUCAGAAGGAUCCUACGGAAAUAAAUCAAAGGGAUCUUUUUCUGAUACAAGCGUCGAUAGUAAUAAUCAAACUGUUAUUGUUGUUGCUACCAUGUGUGGUAUUUCCACUAUUUUCAUUCUAAUUCUUAUAUUUGUUUUUACACGAAACAAGGUUGCGCGCUUCUUUGAAAGGAUGAAGUGUGGUCCCAUCCUGAGGUGUAGAGACGUUGAACUCGGUAAACAAAGAGAGAGAACUCCGUUCGAUGACAUCAAACAAUCAACAAACGCUGUGUCACUAGGAGUAAGUAUGACUCUCGAGGGUCUGGAUGAAAAUUAUGUAGAUGCGUUUGAAUGGGUGUGCACGAAACUUGAUGAGAUAGAGUAUGCGAUCAGGUAUGCGAUAUGACUUUGAAAAGUUAGCUUCACACUACAAGAUUUCGCUCGCAGCACGAGACUCUUUGAAACACGAGUUCCAGAGCGGUAACACUCCUUCUUAUGCUGUGAUGGGUCACAUAAAGGCUAAACACCCAAAUCUGCUGAUUCAUAAACUUAUUGAAGACCUGGAAAA
Molecule: long non-coding RNA, 1558 nt
Organism: Stylophora pistillata
Lineage: Eukaryota; Metazoa; Cnidaria; Anthozoa; Scleractinia; Pocilloporidae
Source: RefSeq, a predicted model, not a curated record